CCCUUAGAUGUUCUGGGCUGCACGCGCGCUACACUGAUGCGCUCAACGAGUUUAUGACCUUGCCCGGAAGGGUUGGGUAAUCUUCUUAAAACGCAUCGUGAUGGGGAUAGAUUAUUGCAAUUAUUAAUCUUCAACGAGGAAUUCCUAGUAAGCGCGAGUCAUCAGCUCGUGCUGAUUACGUCCCUGCCCUUUGUACACACCGCCCGUCGCUCCUACCGAUUGAACGGUUUAGUGAGGGCCUCGGAUUGGUCUCGGCCCGCUCUUUACCGGGCGGCGCCGUUGGUCGAGAAGACGCUCGAACUUGAUCGUUUAGAGGAAGUAAAAGUCGUAACA
This 333-nucleotide ribosomal RNA is filed under the name uncultured eukaryote. Its description in RNAcentral is "partial 18S ribosomal RNA". It matches the Rfam family "Eukaryotic small subunit ribosomal RNA", at positions 1470 to 1796 of the family's 1831-position model. The record is from RNAcentral.